This 102-nucleotide microRNA precursor is filed under the name Marmota monax (woodchuck). The record is from RNAcentral. Lineage: Eukaryota; Metazoa; Chordata; Mammalia; Rodentia; Sciuridae.
AGUGCAAUUCCUAGAUCAUACAGUAAGUGUCGCUUAGCUUUGUAAGAAACUGCCCAACUCUCUUUAAAAGUGACUGUACCAUUUUGCAGUCACACCAGCAAU